CGAGUGGCGAACGGGUGAGUAAUAUAUCGGAACGUGCCCAGUAAUGGGGGAUAGCCCGGCGAAAGCCGGAUUAAUACCGCAUACGACCUACGGGUGAAAGCGGGGGAUCGCAAGACCUCGCGUUAUUGGAGCGGCCGAUAUCAGAUUAGGUAGUUGGUGGGGUAAAGGCCUACCAAGCCUGCGAUCUGUAGUUGGUCUGAGAGGACGACUAGCCACACUGGGACUGAGACACGGCCCAG
Molecule: ribosomal RNA, 239 nt
Filed under: uncultured Burkholderiales bacterium
Lineage: Bacteria; Pseudomonadati; Pseudomonadota; Betaproteobacteria; Burkholderiales
Description: partial 16S ribosomal RNA
Rfam family: Bacterial small subunit ribosomal RNA
Source: RNAcentral